RNAcentral lists this ribosomal RNA (1489 nucleotides) under uncultured bacterium. RNAcentral describes it as "bacterial SSU rRNA". It matches the Rfam family "Bacterial small subunit ribosomal RNA". The record is from RNAcentral.
UGGUUUGAUCAUGGCUCAGGAUGAACGCUAGCUACAGGCUUAACACAUGCAAGUCGAGGGGCAGCAUUUUAGUUUGCUUGCAAACUAAAGAUGGCGACCGGCGCACGGGUGAGUAACACGUAUCCAACCUGCCGAUAACUCGGGGAUAGCCUUUCGAAAGAAAGAUUAAUAUCCGAUAGUAUAUUAAAACCGCAUGGUUUUACUAUUAAAGAAUUUCGGUUAUCGAUGGGGAUGCGUUCCAUUAGUUUGUUGGCGGGGUAACGGCCCACCAAGACUACGAUGGAUAGGGGUUCUGAGAGGAAGGUCCCCCACAUUGGAACUGAGACACGGUCCAAACUCCUACGGGAGGCAGCAGUGAGGAAUAUUGGUCAAUGGACGAGAGUCUGAACCAGCCAAGUAGCGUGAAGGAUGACUGCCCUAUGGGUUGUAAACUUCUUUUAUAUGGGAAUAAAGUAUUCCACGUGUGGGAUUUUGUAUGUACCAUAUGAAUAAGGAUCGGCUAACUCCGUGCCAGCAGCCGCGGUAAUACGGAGGAUCCGAGCGUUAUCCGGAUUUAUUGGGUUUAAAGGGAGCGUAGGUGGAUUGUUAAGUCAGUUGUGAAAGUUUGCGGCUCAACCGUAAAAUUGCAGUUGAAACUGGCAGUCUUGAGUACAGUAGAGGUGGGCGGAAUUCGUGGUGUAGCGGUGAAAUGCUUAGAUAUCACGAAGAACUCCGAUUGCGAAGGCAGCUCACUAGACUGCAACUGACACUGAUGCUCGAAAGUGUGGGUAUCAAACAGGAUUAGAUACCCUGGUAGUCCACACAGUAAACGAUGAAUACUCGCUGUUUGCGAUAUACAGUAAGCGGCCAAGCGAAAGCAUUAAGUAUUCCACCUGGGGAGUACGCCGGCAACGGUGAAACUCAAAGGAAUUGACGGGGGCCCGCACAAGCGGAGGAACAUGUGGUUUAAUUCGAUGAUACGCGAGGAACCUUACCCGGGCUUAAAUUGCAUUUGAAUAAUCUGGAAACAGGUUAGCCGCAAGGCAAAUGUGAAGGUGCUGCAUGGUUGUCGUCAGCUCGUGCCGUGAGGUGUCGGCUUAAGUGCCAUAACGAGCGCAACCCUUAUCUUUAGUUACUAACAGGUCAUGCUGAGGACUCUAGAGAGACUGCCGUCGUAAGAUGUGAGGAAGGUGGGGAUGACGUCAAAUCAGCACGGCCCUUACGUCCGGGGCUACACACGUGUUACAAUGGGGGGUACAGAAGGCAGCUACCUGGUGACAGGAUGCUAAUCCCAAAAACCUCUCUCAGUUCGGAUCGAAGUCUGCAACCCGACUUCGUGAAGCUGGAUUCGCUAGUAAUCGCGCAUCAGCCAUGGCGCGGUGAAUACGUUCCCGGGCCUUGUACACACCGCCCGUCAAGCCAUGAAAGCCGGGGGUACCUGAAGUACGUAACCGCAAGGAGCGUCCUAGGGUAAAACUGGUAAUUGGGGCUAAGUCGUAACAAGGUAUCC